RNAcentral lists this ribosomal RNA (253 nucleotides) under uncultured bacterium. Its description in RNAcentral is "partial 16S ribosomal RNA". It matches the Rfam family "Bacterial small subunit ribosomal RNA", at positions 524 to 776 of the family's 1533-position model. The record is from RNAcentral.
UACGUAGGGGGCAAGCGUUAUCCGGAUUUACUGGGUGUAAAGGGAGCGCAGACGGAUGGAUAAGUCUGAAGUGAAAGCCCGCGGCUCAACUGCGGGACUGCUUUGGAAACUGUGCAUCUUGAGUACGGGAGGGGCAGGCGGAAUUCCUGGUGUAGCGGUGAAAUGCGUAGAUAUCAGGAGGAACUCCGGCGGCGAAGGCGGCCUGCUGGACCGAAACUGACGUUGAGGCUCGAAAGCGUGGGGAGCAAACAGG